CCCCAUUGUUGUGUUGUGUUUGUGUCACAUACAAAUGACAUCACAGGACAUCCGGGCC
This is a microRNA precursor of Oreochromis aureus, 58 nucleotides long. Lineage: Eukaryota; Metazoa; Chordata; Actinopteri; Cichliformes; Cichlidae. The record is from Ensembl.